GGUGUAGGGGUGAAAUGCGCAGAUAUCAGGAGGAACACCGGUGGUGAAGGCGGGUCUUUGGGCCGAUACUGACGCUGAGGAGCGAAAGCGUGGGGAGCGAACAGGAUUAGAUACCCUGGUGGUCCACGCCGUAAACGGUGGAAACCAGGUGUGGGCAGCAUUCCACGUGUUUUGUGCCGCAGCUAACGCCUUAAGUUCCCCGCCUGGGGAGUACGGCCGCAAGGCUAAAACUCAACGGAAUUGACGGGGGCCCGCACAAGCGGCGGAGCAUGUGGCUUAAUUUGACGCAACGCGAAGAACCUUACCAAGGCUUGACAUAUGCCGGAUAUCCCGGAGACAGGGCUUCUCUUUGAGUCGGUGUACAGGUGGUGCAUGGCCGUCGUCAGCUCGUGUCGUGAGAUGUUGGGUUAAGUCCCGCAACGAGCGCAACCCUUGUCCUGUGUUGCCAGCACGCCCUUCGGGGUGGUGGGGACUCACGGGAGACUGCCGGGGUCAACUCGGAGGAAGGUGGGGACGAAGUCAAGUCAUCAUGCCCCUUAUGUCUUGGGCUGCACACCUGCUACAAUGGCCGGUACAAUGAGGUGUGAUGCCUUGAGGUGGAGCGAAUCUCAAAAAGCCGGUCUCAGUUCUGAUUGGGGUCUGCAACUCGACCCCAUGAAGUCGGAGUUUCU
RNAcentral lists this ribosomal RNA (671 nucleotides) under Streptomyces sp. Cgi3. RNAcentral describes it as "bacterial SSU rRNA". It matches the Rfam family "Bacterial small subunit ribosomal RNA", at positions 672 to 1336 of the family's 1533-position model. The record is from RNAcentral. Lineage: Bacteria; Bacillati; Actinomycetota; Actinomycetes; Kitasatosporales; Streptomycetaceae.